GAGGGCAUAGCUCAGUGGUAGAGUGCAUGCCUAGCACGCACGAGGUCCUGGGUUCGAUCCUCGGUACCUCUG
Molecule: transfer RNA, 72 nt
Filed under: Camelus ferus (Wild Bactrian camel)
Lineage: Eukaryota; Metazoa; Chordata; Mammalia; Artiodactyla; Camelidae
Rfam family: tRNA
About the family: Transfer RNA (tRNA) molecules are approximately 80 nucleotides in length. Their secondary structure includes four short double-helical elements and three loops (D, anti-codon, and T loops). Further hydrogen bonds mediate the characteristic L-shaped molecular structure. tRNAs have two regions of fundamental functional importance: the anti-codon, which is responsible for specific mRNA codon recognition, and the 3' end, to which the tRNAs corresponding amino acid is attached (by aminoacyl-tRNA synthetases). tRNAs cope with the degeneracy of the genetic code in two manners: having more than one tRNA (with a specific anti-codon) for a particular amino acid; and 'wobble' base-pairing, i.e. permitting non-standard base-pairing at the 3rd anti-codon position.
Source: Rfam by way of RNAcentral